RNAcentral lists this ribosomal RNA (433 nucleotides) under uncultured bacterium. RNAcentral's name for it is "bacterial SSU rRNA". It matches the Rfam family "Bacterial small subunit ribosomal RNA", at positions 29 to 507 of the family's 1533-position model. The record is from RNAcentral.
AACGAACGCUGGCGGCAUGCCUAACACAUGCAAGUCGAACGAGACCUUCGGGUCUAGUGGCGCACGGGUGCGUAACGCGUGGGAACCUGCCUUUAGGUUCGGAAUAACUCAGAGAAAUUUGAGCUAAUACCGGAUGAUGUCUUCGGACCAAAGAUUUAUCGCCUUUAGAUGGGCCCGCGUUGGAUUAGCUAGUUGGUGGGGUAAAGGCCUACCAAGGCGACGAUCCAUAGCUGGUCUGAGAGGAUGAUCAGCCACACUGGGACUGAGACACGGCCCAGACUCCUACGGGAGGCAGCAGUGGGGAAUAUUGGACAAUGGGCGCAAGCCUGAUCCAGCCAUGCCGCGUGAGCGAUGAAGGCCUUAGGGUUGUAAAGCUCUUUCAGCUGGGAAGAUAAUGACUGUACCAGCAGAAGAAGCCCCGGCUAACUCCGUG